UACAGAGGUCUCAAGCGUUGUUCGGAUUCAUUGGGCGUAAAGGGUGCGUAGGUGGCGUCGUAAGUCAGGUGUGAAAUUUCGGAGCUUAACUCCGAAACUGCAUUUGAUACUGCGGUGCUCGAGUACUGGAGAGGAGAUUGGAAUUUACGGUGUAGCAGUGAAAUGCGUAGAUAUCGUAAGGAAGACCAGUGGCGAAGGCGAAUCUCUGGACAGUUACUGACACUGAGGCACGAAGGCCAGGGGAGCAAACGGG
This 253-nucleotide ribosomal RNA is filed under the name uncultured bacterium. Its description in RNAcentral is "partial 16S ribosomal RNA". It matches the Rfam family "Bacterial small subunit ribosomal RNA", at positions 524 to 776 of the family's 1533-position model. The record is from RNAcentral.